GGCGCUUUAGCUCAGUUGGAUAGAGCAACUGCCUUCUAAGCAGUGGGUCGGCGGUUCGAAUCCGCCAUGCGUCA
This 74-nucleotide transfer RNA is filed under the name Treponema sp. RNAcentral describes it as "tRNA-Arg". It matches the Rfam family "tRNA". Rfam says of the family: Transfer RNA (tRNA) molecules are approximately 80 nucleotides in length. The record is from RNAcentral. Lineage: Bacteria; Pseudomonadati; Spirochaetota; Spirochaetia; Treponematales; Treponemataceae.